CGCUUAUGCGUUGUUGGGUAGGGGAGCGUUCUGUAAGCCUGUGAAGGUGGCCUGUGAGGGUUGCUGGAGGUAUCAGAAGUGCGAAUGCUGACAUAAGUAACGAUAAAGCGGGUGAAAAGCCCGCUCGCCGGAAGACCAAGGGUUCCUGUCCAACGUUAAUCGGGGCAGGGUGAGUCGACCCCUAAGGCGAGGCCGAAAGGCGUAGUCGAUGGGAAACGGGUUAAUAUUCCCGUACUUGGUGUUACUGCGAAGGGGGGACGGAGAAGGCUAUGUUGGCCGGGCGACGGUUGUCCCGGUUUAAGCGUGUAGGUGUGUGUUCCAGGUAAAUCCGGUUCACUUUAACACUGAGGCGUGAUGACGAGGCACUACGGUGCUGAAGCAACAAAUGCCCUGCUUCCAGGAAAAGCCUCUAAGCAUCAGGUAACAUCAAAUCGUACCCCAAACCGACACAGGUGGUCAGGUAGAGAAUACCAAGGCGCUUGAGAGAACUCGGGUGAAGGAACUAGGCAAAAUGGUGCCGUAACUUCGGGAGAAGGCACGCUGACAUGUAGGUGAAGCGGUUUACCCGUGGAGCUGAAAUCAGUCGAAGAUACCAGCUGGCUGCAACUGUUUAUUAAAAACACAGCACUGUGCAAACACGAAAGUGGACGUAUACGGUGUGACGCCUGCCCGGUGCCGGAAGGUUAAUUGAUGGGGUCAGCGCAAGCGAAGCUCCUGAUCGAAGCCCCGGUAAACGGCGGCCGUAACUAUAACGGUCCUAAGGUAGCGAAAUUCCUNGACGCCUGCCCGGUGCCGGAAGGUUAAUUGAUGGGGUCAGCGCAAGCGAAGCUCCUGAUCGAAGCCCCGGUAAACGGCGGCCGUAACUAUAACGGUCCUAAGGUAGCGAAAUUCCUUGUCGGGUAAGUUCCGACCUGCACGAAUGGCGUAAUGAUGGCCAGGCUGUCUCCACCCGAGACUCAGUGAAAUUGAACUCGCUGUGAAGAUGCAGUGUACCCGCGGCAAGACGGAAAGACCCCGUGAACCUUUACUAUAGCUUGACACUGAACAUUGAGCCUUGAUGUGUAGGAUAGGUGGGAGGCUUUGAAGUGUGGACGCCAGUCUGCAUGGAGCCGACCUUGAAAUACCACCCUUUAAUGUUUGAUGUUCUAACGUGGACCCGU
RNAcentral lists this ribosomal RNA (1160 nucleotides) under Salmonella enterica subsp. enterica serovar Weltevreden. Its description in RNAcentral is "bacterial LSU rRNA". It matches the Rfam family "Bacterial large subunit ribosomal RNA", at positions 1212 to 2236 of the family's 2925-position model. The record is from RNAcentral. Lineage: Bacteria; Pseudomonadati; Pseudomonadota; Gammaproteobacteria; Enterobacterales; Enterobacteriaceae.